UGUGCUCCGGCUGCGACCUCGGGAGAUCAGUGUCUCCACGGUGCUCCGACGUCCAGCGGACAGACCACUCCAUCCCCGCCCCCUCCCCACACCGGGCGCCAGAUCCGGCAUCCGCCGACGCCGGAGAAGAGGGCUCCAGCCUUCAGGUACCCAUCCUUUUGAAUGUUACAACCUUGUCUUUUCACUGUGUAUGUAUUUUGGUUCUAAUCCAUCGUCCACUUUACAUCGAUCGUGUGAGAUGUCCUAUCUGAUCCGAGCAAAAUGUGGUGAUCUCUCAGCUGGCGUGGGAAAAAUAAUAACUGAACUGUUGUAUUUGGCUUAGACUACAUGCAUAUUCAAGCAAUUAGGUGUAGAGAAAUAUGAACAAUCUAUGGCCUGAGCAAAGUAAUUGUAUCUACCUGUUCCAAGUGCCUGAACAUGAAGUGCUCGUUGGUCUAAGCGCAUGACCGAGAUCCAUUAACACUUGCAAUACGCGCCACACUGAUUUGUGAGAAUGCCCUGUCUGCUCUGUUUCUUCAGCAUUUCCAUCAAAACUAAUACGGUGGUGGUUUUGGUUUAGUGAUGAACCAAAUGUAUUAGCUCGUUGGCCUUCCUUUUAUUUUGGACAAGAGGCGGCGCCUUAUGUUCAUUAUCAAACACAUUUUACAUUCAGGAUUUGGCAAUCCUUAACAUCUAGGUUGCCUAGCUUUGAAAGCAUAGGACACUGAUCACCUGUAUGUGCUAAGCUACAACAUGCCGUAUUUUUGCUCACCGCCUUGUCUGAUCUACUUACUUCUGAAGCACAGUUGUGAGCCACAGAGUUAAGGUUCCUUCCUUGGUAUGUCAUGAAUUUGUAUACGGAUGUUCGCUGUUGUAGCAAAGAAAUUUGCUAGCUGGUUUCUCAUCACCCCAAUGCCCAGGGGAAAGAAAAAUAUUUCUUGACACUGCUGCUUUGGCUGGGGUCAGAUUAUCCACCAGAAAAAUGGCCUGCUUGCAUCUGAAUUUGGAAAUUAUUUCUGCAGCAACCUGAAGGGCUAUAUCUCCUGCUUGUAACGGGGAAGUGGCAUGUUUGCCAGCUGCUGAAACAUAGAUGUUUGUUUCUACUUCAUUUUCUUCAACCUGCAUAUGUAUUCAAUGUCUGCUUUGGUUGAUCCUGCCUUGGUCUUCCUUAUUCAGGUGCAAAAAAGUGGCACUACAUUCCUACAGAUUUAGCAUUUUGGUGCUAUGUGUCAUCACAUAGAGCAUGAUUGGUUCGAUGCCAAAAGUUGGUAUGCCAAUAUUUGGCAAAUGCCAAAUGUUGGCUAGUGAUUGGUUGGCUAUCAACUUUUCUUCUCAACCUCACAAAAAAGUUGCCAACAUUUGGCAACUUUUGAUUUUGCCAAAUGUUGGCUUGCCAAAUAUUGGCAAUGCCAAUUGUUGGCAUCAAACCAAUUAUGCUCAUAAUUCCAUGAUGCCAUGCCAACUACAUUCUGCUGUACUCACGAAUAUUUUUUAUUAGCAGCAUUAUUGUAACUCUCUUUUUCUUAGUACAUCUGAAUGCCAAUGCAUUAGACAUUUUCUUUGUUUGCUACUUUAGCAUGGCAUUGUUGAUUUUUUGGAGUUCAUUGUGCUACAGCUCUCAUGACAAGCUAACUCUUAGGUGCUCCUGCAUGUAAUAUCUUACACUUCUUUCUGCACUUACCAGGGAAGGAUGGAGUCAAUGGCAAGUAUUGCUCCAAGUGCCAGGUCAACUACAGUGAUGGGACUUGAAGAUCAUGCCAAGUUGCCAACAACUUUUCCUCGCCGUCGACGGCCACCGAGCACAAGGAGGGAGACGCGCUGAACUCUCCUCCUCCCUACCGGCACUCCCACCGCCCGCCGCCAUCUCUGCCUGGCUCCCCCUUCACGGUGGCUGCACCGUUCGUUUCCUUCCCCAGAGGCCAUGGCCUCUCACAGAACUGCCUCCUCUGUGGAUGAUGAUUUGGUAUAUGCCCUGCUCUUGCUCUGCUCUGAGAUCAUUUCUUGGAUGCUAAUGGAAUCGAUUUCGUCAGGACUAUGCCAAUUAUCAGGACGAGAAGAUAGCUUGCUAUUGUCAAGAUGAUUGGGGCUUUGCUAGGCACAAGUGCGAGAUCUUGUUGGAAUUUGCCCAUCUGGUAUGAGCUUAGUGAUAGAUUGGUGAAUCAUUGUAUGCAUUGCCUGGUGUUUAACAGAACAUUGCACAAGUCACUCUUAAAAGAGGAUGUUAUGUUAACCAAGCAAUUGUCACAUGUGAAUCGAAUUUUCUGACGAGUGGUUAGUGAUUUCUUGAUAUGUAGAUAUGGGGUGCUAGAAAAGGAUGACUGCUCCUUAAAUAUAUUGCUCAUCUUUUGAAAUGAUAUGUAUGUGGCAUGCAGUUCUUAAAAAAAAGAGUGUGGCAUGCUCAAGUGUUGGAUAAGACGAUUCUGGACUUGAUGUCUAUGUAAAACAAUCCUGGACUUGAUGUCUAUGUUGAUUCUGGAAUUGGACCCUUGUGUGGAGCCUGUACGUCCUGUGUGUUUUUGUAGCUGGCUCAGCAAGUUCCCAAACAGCAUUAUACUACAAACUCAUUUUCAGUCUUGCCUAACUAUAGUCCCGUGUGUGUUUCUUUGUUACUUUUUACAGUUGUACUGAACUAUAGCAAAGCAGGCAAUCAUUUGUGUGAGUUGUACUGAACCGUGGCAAAGAUGAACCCUUUGUCUUUUCUUGCUGUUGCUUUAUACAUACACCAUCGUAACCUUAAAGUUAAACCCACUAGUGCAUGGUUUUUUUUUCUCUAUUUCAAAAGCGAUUCUAUUUUGCCUUUUCUCAAGUUUCUCAAGCAAUUAUGUUUAGUUAGCUGCAUUAUUGUGAAGCAACUAUAUCUACAUUGGAGAACUCCUAUGCUUCGUCACUUUUUUUUAUCCGAAAUGCUUGGUACUUUAACUCUGUUUUUCUACAUAUAAAAUGUAUAUUAUCCACCCCCUAUGAUUCUGACUCUGGAUGUUAUGAGCCAGUCUCAAUCUUGACUUCACUUCCUUUUUAUGCAGUAGGAGAAUCGCCGCCGUCCCCGGAUCCAACUAACCAAUGCCAGAAUGUAGAUUUUUCACCUUGAAGAACCAAUCCAAGUAUAUCCGAGCAAUGCCUUCAACAAGGUAAGGACGUAAAAACAUUGCCAUUGGCAGGUAUAACUAACACGGGUCAGACCUGGGCUUUCACCCUGGAGUUUUGAGACCGGGUGCUUGAGUAGCACCACCAUCGACGCCACUCAUGUGUUGUCGCCACCACUUUUUCGCGAUCCCAACAGCUACAUGUGAUGUGUGACCGCCACGGCUGCACAACCAUCCCUCCACGAGAAGUCGUCGCCCAUAGUUUGCAUCUCCCCGCCAAAGUCAGCCACUGGAUCUGGAGAGAGGAACCCUCACAAAGAUCUUCGGUUGGCCGCCGCAAUCAGCAGCGUGUCCAUCGCUGCAGGAUGGAGUGGUCACGGCAAGGACCAACACUAUUGGCGGAGCAUGCCGUCGUCAACUACCACCUCGUCGGAGAGAACCCUGCCCAGGCCCGUCCGCCUCUGGGUCGACAUGUCUAGGGUUGAAGCACGAAAGACAUAUCAUCAUCGCCGACGUGCGCUCGUGUGGAGCGCAACCACUGCCAGAUCGAUCAGAAGCGCAUAGCCACCAGAUCAGAAGCGCAUAGCGGCCAGAUUGGUGCCGUGCCUCCUGACCGAAGCACUACGUCCACCCCGAGCACGUUCGCCGCUGCAGGCCAGAGUGGUCACCACAAUGACCAACACCGUUGGUGGAGCACACCACAGUUGGCUACCACCUCGCCGAAGAGAACCCUGCCCAGGCCCAUUCGGCCCUAGGUCGACAUGGUUAGAGCUAGAUAGAGCACGGAAUACAUAUCAACAUCGCCGACGCGCGCCCUUGCGGAGCGCAGCCGCGGCUAUAUCAAAAGCGCACAACCGCUAGAUCGGCGUCGUGCCUCCUGACCGAAGCACUAGGAUUCAUCCCAAGCACGUCUGCUGUCACACCUCAAAUCACAUCCUCACGCCGUCGCCUCGCAUCUUCGCCAUCGUUGGAAGCCCGCAGUCGUGACACCGCGCACCAUGUCGAGGCUCACACCCACGCGAAGCUGGAAUGUCCUGCGCCGCUAGCCAACCCCGUGAGAGGGAUGAGAAGCCUCGCCGACGCCGCACUCUGGCAGCACCCUUCGGCGACGACAAGGGAGAGGAGAGGAUGGGAAGUGGCUGAGUUUUGGCGGCGCUAGGGCUCCCCAUGUCACUAGCAACGAAUGAUCUAUUUUUUGCGGCUGCUUGCCGAACUUUCCUAAGGUUAGUUAAGUAGAACUAGAGCCGCAAGUUGCAAGACUAAGAAAAACUCACCACACCUUAAGAGCGUAUGUCAUGUUGGGCAACACGCAUCUUGCCUAAGGUGUGGCUUGAACCAAACAACCACCAAAGACCCUCUACAACCCUGGUUGCCUAACUUGGGGCCCUGGACUCCCGCGAACGCGGUCGUGCGCGCCCCUUUUGUCCCUGUCCACAACCGUAACCCCCAUAUGUCCGCACCCAAAUCCAUACAUAACCAUGCAUAGGCACGUAGAUCAUCAUACAAAAGCAUAGUUCACCACUUCCCUCGCUGGUCGCUUCCCCUUGGGGUCUCGGGGGCGGCGAUUGUCUUCGGCGUUGGUGGCGGGCGAGGUGUCGUUGUCCGUCAUCUCGCUAUCCGAGGAGGAGGAGGAGGAGCUCAUGAUCCCCGCCAUGCGUCGGACGACACGGUUCUACUCCGUCGUGAGUCGUGUGGCUCUCUCCGACGCCACCGCCCUCUGCCUCGCCAACCUCUCAAACUCCUCAAGCCCGAUGUGGAGCACCACCGCAUUUUUGCGAUGCCGACGGAGGGUGUCCAUCUCCGCGACACUGAACGAAUGGCGGAUUGCGUCGCGGAGCCCCUCAUCGUCGUCGAAGGCAGGCGGCAACGGCGCGGCGCAGAUCUGAAGGACUCGCAACUGGAGCGGUUCGACACAGCCUGUGCCGCAAUCUUCAUUGCACGGCGAUACAUGUGCCCCUCGUUCUCCAGCUGCCGCAGGCUCGGCAGUGCGGGCACUAGCACCCAGCGCCGCCCGUGAGUAGCAAGUGUUGGCGGUGCUGGGCGCCAUUGGUCGCCCUACCGGCUCACCGGGGAAGGCAAGGACUGCAUAAUGCGGCUGCGGGGUGUGCCCCAGAGCUGCUGCUGCCCACCCUAGCCAUUGGUGACACUGUGGACAACGAGCUCCCGCCCUGGUCCAUCUACAAGCGGCUUAGGGCAAUGCGGCGCGCUAGCUCCUCGUCCCGGCAUGGAUGAGCUCGACAAGUCUGUGACAAGCUUAGCCUAGUCGAUCUCGUCAAAGCCGCUGUCGGAUGCGCUUCCGGCCAUGGCGGAAGGGAGGGCAGAGGUCGGGGAGGGGCCGGGAGUGGAGUGGACAGGUCGAGAGAGUGCGGUUGACAACGGUUCCGUCGUCUAGCGGGGGUAUUUGUGGGGACAGAGGUAGGAACGGUGUGGGCCAUACUAGGCCAAUCUGAUGUGGCGGCAGUGUCCGGGCACGUUUGGGCCUCCCCAUAUCCGCCCCACAUAUCAGCCCGGACGUUUGGGCUGCAUUUGGGGAGGCCGGUUGGGUGGCAUAUUUUGGUCCGGGCAGGGCUCUCGAGCGUUUGGGGCGGAUAUGGCGUGUCCGGUUGUAGAUGCUCUAAUCUGGUCAAACCUGCCAAACCUUAGGUGUGGCAGACUUAGACAAAUCUAGCCUCAACUAAAAAUCGCCUAAUUUAUCACUUUUGAAUUGAGAUAGCAUUUCAGAGCAGUAAGCUUCCGAAUUUAGACUACUCGGGAGUACAAAUAUAGAAAAUCUACCUGGCACCGAACCGCUAUACAAUAAUUUUUGGCCUUUCAUGUGUUUUUCAUGUGAUUAUUGGUUUGUUUUCGGUUUCGGUAGGAUUGACAUGUCAUCGCAUGGAAUCUAGAUCUAGUUACUCUAUUUUCGAAGCCUGUGAAUCAGAGAGGAACUUAAAAGCAGAAAAUCAUAGACAUAUGGUAAAAUGACAAUUAUAUUGCUUAGAAUCUUACAUAAGUUACCCACACAAAUAGUCAAAUCACUUGGCGAGUGCAAAUCAUGGUAGAAGGUAUAUAGCCAAGGGAAACAUAUCCAUGACAAUGACUCGGUUCAGUUUACAAUAAGGAUACAGAGAUAAUGCCCCAGUUUUAUUGAAAGCAGAGCAUCUGAGAUAUUCUCCCAGCACACUUUACUCAGUUUACUGUCUAGCUUACCUCUGCUGCGCGCUUACUUGGGAGGCUUGAAGUAGGCAUAGACAGCGAAGAAGGUCUGCAGCACGGCCAUGGAGAGCAGGAGUAGGGCCGCCAACACUGACAUGGUCACCCAUGGGUUGCUGAAGUAGUUGCGGUCAAGCGCCGCGCGCCACUUGUGCCGCCUGCGCUCCCUGUACCUGUUCACCUCGUUCAUCAGGCCGACCAGGUAGUUGUCGUCAACCGACCAGUGCACCUUCCCGACAAUGUCACUGAAGAAAUUCCAUGCAACCCGCCUGCUGCUGCUGCUGAGAUGGCUGACGAGGACGCCAUGCAGGUCCAGGAUCCUCAUGUCCUCCGCCGAGGUGAUGAGGCAGUCCAUGAAGACGGCAUAGGUGGAGACGUCACACGGGGUGUCCGGGUAGGUCUGCUCGAAUGCGAUCAGGUUCCGGAACAGCGACUCGCUGGAGUCGUUGAGCUCCAACUGUGGGAUCUCCAGCACGCCCUGGGCGAAGCUCACGUCUAGGAAGCUCGUGGCAUUCUCCCUCUUGCGGAACUGGACCCCGCCUCCUCCAGCUCGUUGGCGCACGGGAUCCACUGCAGAAACUCAUCGGUUCGGCGGCGGCGGGAAUGCUGCCGGUCGUGGUUCGGUGGGAAGCUGACGGAGAGGUAGAAGAGAUGCAGCAGGUGGUGCACGCUGCGGCAUGCGAUGGGCGACUGGUGCAGCAUCUGGGGACGAAGGGAGCGGAAAAGCCUGAGGCUGCCGGUAACGAGGAGAUUUUCGGAUUUGCCCUCGUUCCUCAGCUGCUGGAAAAGCUCUUGGAUGACGAAGAAAGGGAUCUGGUUCUCCAGCAGCAGCAGGUCCCGCGUCACCAACUGCCACACAAAGCACCUGCCGUACACCUGAGUCCAGUCGUCGUCGUCGUCGACAAUCUGAUCGCCAACGCCACCAGCUUCUUCCAUUUCCGCGCGUCGCGCGUACUUGAGCAGUCGGUGUAGGAUGAAGCAGCCGUCUAGCAGCAUCAUCUCCGCCACCUCGUCGUCGGAUUGAGCUCCGUCAGCCCUUAAGGUGCCUUGUGAGUAGGAUCCCCGAAUUUUAGGCAGGAGUUGCUUCAUGCUGGUGAAGCAUCCGUGCAGUAGCACCAGAGUCUUGGCAGGCUCCAAGAGGCGGCUGUGUCGCCUGAUGAGCUGCUGCACGCAGCACCAUUUGUAUCUGUCCAGCUGCUGCAAGCUUUCCCUGUACUGACUCCCUGUUGUAAGAGUGUCAAUCUUGGAGUACGUUCUUCCUAUGCAAACAGCAACAGGCUCAUAUUCUCCCACGGGGUUAUAGCUGUUAAUUUUAAGUUCCUGGGGGACCAUGUAGAUGGUGGGUUGCUGCGUCGAGUCACCGUGACCUGCUCCUGCAGAAGCCGCGCUGCACAAUUUCUCCAACAGUAUCUUAAAAUGGCGCUCGCCUACAUGGACGUCGUCAUCAUUUCCAGAUGAAAUUGGGACUGGCGAAUGACUGUUAGUUCCACUCCGUACUGAAUUUUCUGAAACAUAGGCAAAACAUCUUCCAUUAUCUCAUAAUUAACACGGAGUUUGAUAACAAUGUAAAAAUACCAAAGUUCAAAGUCCAAGAUGACGCCUCUAGUCGCUACUAGGUUGUUUUCAUCGCUUUUGGGAUUUCUUCUUCUUUUUUCUCCGCCUAUGCAUAGCUUCGGCUUGAAUGACUUUGUUAUUUGCCGGCGUGAUACUUUGUGUGCAUGUGUUAGUAUUGGUUGUGUGCAUCCUAAUUAUGUAGAGGCCGGAUGUGUACUCACUAUAAUUGUAUCCCUCGAUGCUAUAUCUGGAGUCAAUAAAAAACACCCUUUGUCCAAAAAAAGUUGCUAGGGAUUUCCUCCAAUGGACACCUUGAUUGCACGGAAUUUCUCACUUGGAGCUUUGAGAAACAAUGUAUCGCCGUCCAGUAGAAUGUUAGGCACCGCUCCCACGACACCACCACUCAGCCACCGUACCACCCUCGCUGUAGCCAUCUCGGAUGAAUCUCAUCUCCUGUCUGCUCCUCCGGCACCUGUCUCAAGGGAAGCUCUUAGGGCGCCAGUUUAGGACCCCGAGUGUGGAGCUCCUCUCCGUCCUUCUCUACUUCGCCGACUCAGAUCUGAUGGAUCCUGAUUCAGAGAGAGAGGCGAGGGAGAGUAGAACUGCUGGCGCUGCGAGCUGCUACGGAGCAAGACAAGCCCCGGCGAAGGCCAAGCUCAAACCCGUGAUGAGCAUCACAUGGCGAGGACAGCUGCGGUUUAGGCUGCAGGUGGGAGUAGGACUAAGUGGGACUAACCAGCCCAUCCCACUUAAAUUGCUUUAGUGGGCUCCCAUUGGACAGGGAAAAAAAAUUAAGCGGGCUAGCCCUAUUAGCCCAUUGGGAACCCACUCACCCGCCAGCCCCUUGGACAGAGGAGGCGCACUCCCACGAUUCCCACCGCCAAUGUCCACCAACUUUGUUUCUUGUAAGAUGGGGAUUGAUACUUAUAAUUACUAAUCAUGGAGAGUUAUUCUUGUUCUCUUGUAUAUAGUGAGGAAAUCAGAAGUUUAAGAUUCCUUUUGUUCUUGCAUAAUCUGCUCGAUCUGACCAAGUGCUAAUAAGUAGGUGUUCCUCUGCUCCCCUUCUAAGCCUAUAGACUGCAGAUUGUGCUAUUAUGUGGUUCAUGUAAGAUAAAGUGGAGAUACUACUGUUAGUUAAUUGGUGUAGUAGUAAAUGGAGUUAAUCACUUUUUAAAACUAAUGUUUUGUUUAUCUAGUGCUAGUAAAUUGGUAAUAUGGAGAUCAGGAAUGGCUGACCUCUUAGUUUUUGGUGCUGAAAUGGAACAAGCUGAAAUUGCACCUUAAUUCUCAGUUUUCUAUCUACGGUAGUAGUUAGCUUGCAGUAGCUUUUCGAUUUCAGGAAUCAAGGUGACAGAUGGGGGGUCAACUAAAGCUUUAGCUGAGAUAUGACAUUGAAUGCUUGAUCCAUGUCUGAUCGCUGCCAUUACCUCUCUCAAGCACUUCUUGUCAAAGGUGCAUUGCCUUUUGGUUUUCUUUUCCAUUCAGAGUGAUAUUCUCUUACAUCUGGGAAACUGUUGCAAUGCAUCAGUCAAAGGACAUGAGACCUCUUUUUUAUGUGUCUAGCUAUCAAACGUGGGUCAUAAAAUUUGUGUAACCAGUAGCCUCAUAUUUUUAUAGAAUAAUAAUUUUAUUGCUGCUUUAACCAGUGGCCUCAUGUUCUUUUCUGGAAACUCCUCAUUUUUGUAUGUGAGAAAAAUUAUACAUUAUAUGCUGAAUAUAUACCCUUGCUUGUAUCUGUAUGUAAGUGAAUCUAUAUAGGCUUUGUUGUAUCUGAACUAAAGAUGUUAGCCUUCCCUUGCUGACGUGUUUGCUGAGUGAAGUCAUGAGUGCAAAUUAACGAAAGAAACAUCGCUCCGAACAUGAAUCAGUCUGAUUGAACCUUGGUUCUGCUGUUUACUAUGCUGCAGUUAAACUAGUGUUUUUUUUUCGUUGGGCAGGUUAAGUAAGAACCUUGUUAAUCAUCGUGACCAGUUAUGGUUCUUGUUGAUUUUCUCCCUGGCCAUGAGUAGUUGAACUGUGUUUGCCCAAGUUGUAGUUGAGCUUGAGCACACCUCUGGAACUGGAAAAUGUGGGAGUUGAAUAGCAGAAUUAUUAUGCAAUGCAUGUGUUUGUAACAUGCUUGAUUAGGCUACUUGGAACCUAAGGUAUCUUGAAUAUAUAUUUCUUUUAUCUCUCAGAUAUCAAUUUGUACUUCAAAUUCAUUUUUGUUAUUCUGGCAUGAAAAAUAGCAGAGGAAUGAUAUUCUGAAGGUUUCACAUGUUAUGCCAAGGCUAUAAUAUUUUCAUUGCCAGACUAUAUUUAAAAAAAAAUGCACUGCUAACUACAGUAACUUGAUUAGAAGGCUGGCUUUCAUCCCCUUGUACAAUGUAUUCUAUUAUUUCACUACCUGCCUAUGUAGUCUGUACUGACGUCGUAUUAUAUAUCCAUCUUUCCCUGUUCUACAAAGUUACAUCACUAGCUGCUAUAAAACAUCCAUUAUCACUUCUAUGAACAAAGUAAAUCCAUAUCUACUAGAGAAUUAGUACAUCAUUUCUUGGAACAUGACAUGUGCUUAGAGUUCAAACUUCAGAAUGAUCUUUGCUUAGAAAAACAAGUUUAUUUCUCUUCAGCAGCAGUGUUCUAGUGUUCUGAAAUACAAGGAGGUGUUUGAUCUCAUUUAACAUUGAACUACAUGUACUUGCAGAGUUGCAGGGCUCUUCAACAUGCAUGCCAAAGGAUUCAACAGCUUUGAGAUAUUCGAUCUCAUGUCACCAACGUUCAGAGCAUGGACCAACAGAAAACCAAAUAACGUGAGAAGAUUUUAAAGAUAUUGAACUCAUGUCCGCCAUGUUCAGGGCUCUUCUGGAUCCUGAAGAUUAAUUAAAAUACCAAUAGUUGUCUUGCUCUGCAUUAUCCUCUGAACAGUCAAUCUAUUCAUCCUUCUGUGCAUUUGCGUUGUGUCUUGAUUAUUAUACAACUGGUUUUGUUUUAAGGCUGUAAUCGAAGGAUCAUAACAGUUAUACAACCAUGAAGUGUAAUACUGUCCCCAUGGAUUAUCCUCUGAACUUCUGAAGUGUGAUGUUUCCAAUCGUGAGUGCAUCUGCUAAGUUGGAUCCCACUUGUGCCCACAUAAUUUGCGUACGUUCUCAUGAGAUGUCCGG
RNAcentral lists this long non-coding RNA (10948 nucleotides) under Triticum aestivum (bread wheat). RNAcentral's name for it is "long non-coding RNA (TAES_LNC018490)". Lineage: Eukaryota; Viridiplantae; Streptophyta; Magnoliopsida; Poales; Poaceae. The record is from RNAcentral.